AUUCCAGCUCCAAUAGCGUAUAUUAAUUUUGUUGCGGUUAAAAAGCUCGUAGUUGGAUCUCGGUUUCGGGCGAGUGGUGUACCUUGCGGUAUUUACUGUUUGCCCGGACGAUUUUGUUGGUUCGUUUAUGGUUCUCUUAACCGAGUGCCAUAAGUGGCCAGCACGUUUACUUUGAAAAAAUUGGAGUGCUCAAAGCAGGCGCUACAGCCUGAACAUUAGUGCAUGGAAUAAUGGAAUAGGAUCUCGGUUCUAUUUCGUUGGCUUUCGGAGUCGAGGUAAUGAUUAAUAGGGACAGACGGGGGCAUUCGUACUGCGACGUUAGAGGUGAAAUUCUUGGAUCGUCGCAAGACGAACUACUGCGAAAGCAUUUGCCAAGAAUGUUUUCAUUAAUCAAGAACGAAAGUUAGAGGUUCGAAGGCGAUCAGAUACCGCCCUAGUUCUAACCAUAAACGAUGUCGACCGGCGAUCCGUUAUCGUUAACUGAAUGACUUAACGGGCAGCCUCCGGGAAACCAGAGUGUUUGGAUUCCGGGGGAAGUAUGGUUGCAAAGCUGAAACUUAAAGGAAUUGACGGAAGGGCACCACCAGGAGUGGAGCCUGCGGCUUAAUUUGACACAACACGGGAAAUCUCACCAGGCCCGGACACCGGAAGGAUUGACAGAUUGAGAGCUCUUUCUUGAUUCGGUGGGUGGUGGUGCAUGGCCGUUCUUAGUUGGUGGAGCGAUUUGUCUGGUUAAUUCCGAUAACGAACGAGACUCUGGCCUACUAACUAGACGUUAGAUCCCUUUGUGGGUCUAUCGCAGCUUCUUAGAGGGACGGGCGGCGUUUAGCCGCACGAGAUUGAGCAAUAACAUGUCUGUGAUGCCCUUAGAUGUUCUGGGCUGCACGCGCGCUACACUGAAGGAAUCAGCGUGUGUUCCCUACCCGAAAGGGUUGGGAAACCCGUUGAACCUCCUUCGUGAUGGGGAUUGGGGAUUGCAAUUAUUCCCCAUGAACGAGGAAUUCCCAGUAGGCGCGAGUCAUAAGCUUGCGUCGAUUACGUCCCUGCCCUUUGUACACACCGCCCGUCGCUACUACCGAUCGAGUGAUUUAGUGAGGCCUUCGGACUGGUCUUCAGUAUGGCUUUCGGGUCGUGUUGGAGUACCGGAAAGAUGACCAAACUUGAUCACUUAGAGGAAGUAAAAGUC
This 1186-nucleotide ribosomal RNA is filed under the name metagenome. Its description in RNAcentral is "SSU rRNA". It matches the Rfam family "Eukaryotic small subunit ribosomal RNA", at positions 582 to 1790 of the family's 1831-position model. The record is from RNAcentral.